AAUUAAAAUAGCAAAAUGGUGAAUGCAAGAGGUCUAAGUUUUCUUAAUAAAGGUUCGAUUCCUUUUUUUAGUUA
This 74-nucleotide transfer RNA is filed under the name Asthenactis papyraceus. RNAcentral's name for it is "tRNA-Leu". It matches the Rfam family "tRNA". From Rfam's summary of the family: Transfer RNA (tRNA) molecules are approximately 80 nucleotides in length. Their secondary structure includes four short double-helical elements and three loops (D, anti-codon, and T loops). Further hydrogen bonds mediate the characteristic L-shaped molecular structure. tRNAs have two regions of fundamental functional importance: the anti-codon, which is responsible for specific mRNA codon recognition, and the 3' end, to which the tRNAs corresponding amino acid is attached (by aminoacyl-tRNA synthetases). tRNAs cope with the degeneracy of the genetic code in two manners: having more than one tRNA (with a specific anti-codon) for a particular amino acid; and 'wobble' base-pairing, i.e. permitting non-standard base-pairing at the 3rd anti-codon position. The record is from RNAcentral. Lineage: Eukaryota; Metazoa; Echinodermata; Asteroidea; Spinulosida; Pythonasteridae.